Molecule: non-coding RNA, 112 nt
Filed under: uncultured Lacticaseibacillus sp.
Lineage: Bacteria; Bacillati; Bacillota; Bacilli; Lactobacillales; Lactobacillaceae
Description: FMN riboswitch (RFN element)
Rfam family: FMN riboswitch aptamer (RFN element)
About the family: The RFN element is a highly conserved domain that is found frequently in the 5'-untranslated regions of prokaryotic mRNAs that encode for flavin mononucleotide (FMN) biosynthesis and transport proteins. This element is a metabolite-dependent riboswitch that directly binds FMN in the absence of proteins.
Source: RNAcentral
UCUUCAGGGGCAGGGUGAAAUUCCCGACCGGCGGUGAAAGUCCGCGACCCGCGCAUGGCGCGGCCGAUCCGGUGUGAUUCCGGAACCGAUAGUACAGUCUAGAUAAAGAAGA